UUAAGUCCCGCAACGAGCGCAACCCUUAUCAUUAGUUGCCAUCAUUCAGUUGGGCACUCUAAAGAGACUGCCGGUGUCAAACCGGAGGAAGGUGGGGAUGACGUCAAGUCCUCAUGGCCUUUAUGACCAGGGCUACACACGUACUACAAUGGCCGGUACAAAGGGCAGCCACUUAGCGAUAAGGAGCCAAUCCCGUAAAGCCGGUCUCAGUCCGGAUUGGAGUCUGCAACUCGACUCCAUGAAGUUGGAAUCGCUAGUAAUCGCAGAUCAGCACGCUGCGGUGAAUACGUUCCCGGGCCUU
This 301-nucleotide ribosomal RNA is filed under the name uncultured Desulfocapsa sp. RNAcentral's name for it is "bacterial SSU rRNA". It matches the Rfam family "Bacterial small subunit ribosomal RNA", at positions 1080 to 1382 of the family's 1533-position model. The record is from RNAcentral. Lineage: Bacteria; Pseudomonadati; Thermodesulfobacteriota; Desulfobulbia; Desulfobulbales; Desulfocapsaceae.